This 671-nucleotide ribosomal RNA is filed under the name Micrococcus sp. GWS-BW-H213. RNAcentral describes it as "bacterial SSU rRNA". It matches the Rfam family "Bacterial small subunit ribosomal RNA", at positions 41 to 726 of the family's 1533-position model. The record is from RNAcentral. Lineage: Bacteria; Bacillati; Actinomycetota; Actinomycetes; Micrococcales; Micrococcaceae.
GGCGUGCUUAACACAUGCAAGUCGAACGAUGAAGCCCAGCUUGCUGGGUGGAUUAGUGGCGAACGGGUGAGUAACACGUGAGUAACCURCCCUUAACUCUGGGAUAAGCCUGGGAAACUGGGUCUAAUACCGGAUAGGAGCGCCYACCGCAUGGUGGGUGUUGGAAAGAUUUAUCGGUUUUGGAUGGACUCGCGGCCUAUCAGCUUGUUGGUGAGGUAAUGGCUCACCAAGGCGACGACGGGUAGCCGGCCUGAGAGGGUGACCGGCCACACUGGGACUGAGACACGGCCCAGACUCUACGGGAGGCAGCAGUGGGGAAUAUUGCACAAUGGGCGCAAGCCUGAUGCAGCGACGCCGCGUGAGGGAUGACGGCCUUCGGGUUGUAAACCUCUUUCAGUAGGGAAGAAGCGAAAGUGACGGUACCUGCAGAAGAAGCACCGGCUAACUACGUGCCAGCAGCCGCGGUAAUACGUAGGGUGCGAGCGUUAUCCGGAAUUAUUGGGCGUAAAGAGCUCGUAGGCGGUUUGUCGCGUCUGUCGUGAAAGUCCGGGGCUUAACCCCGGAUCUGCGGUGGGUACGGGCAGACUAGAGUGCAGUAGGGGAGACUGGAAUUCCUGGUGUAGCGGUGGAAUGCGCAGAUAUCAGGAGGAACACCGAUGGCGAAGGCAGGU